Ricinus communis (castor bean) is the source of this 1216-nucleotide long non-coding RNA. RefSeq lists it as uncharacterized. The record is from RefSeq and is a predicted model, not a curated record. The transcript has 3 exons. Lineage: Eukaryota; Viridiplantae; Streptophyta; Magnoliopsida; Malpighiales; Euphorbiaceae.
UUCACGGGCUUUUCCUCGCCUGAGUCACUGGCGCUCGAGCAAGACUGUCACACUAGAGUGGUCACAAGUUCACGUGCAUCACAUGUAGAUCAACAGUUUAACCUAGGACAUGAUUCAGAGCGAUUGCUGGGAGAGCGCAGCUAAUGUGAGCCUUAUAUGCUGUCUGCGGCUGACCUUGAGCAAAGGAAGAUACUACUGGCCGGACCUACCUGUCGGGGGUGGCAUCUUGGUGAGAGGAUUUAUGGCUGGGAGCAAGGUCCUAGCAGGCACCGAGUCCCAUUAUCUCAUCCUCUUUCCAUGUUCUGGAUGACAGAUCUUGCUGGGGAGGAGCUAAUGGAGUGUUUAAACGGGUAUGACAAGCUUGAGGACCUUACCAUCCGAUCCUGGCUGAUAAACUAUAUCUCGCUCAUCCCUCGACUGCUAGGGGCUCUACCUCUUGGCGAUGAUGCCAUUACUCAUGUAUUUUCUCGGAUUCACUUAGAGCUCUCUUUUUCUGUCGUGUACUGCUCUUUUAUUCAUUUAUUUACAACUGGUCCGCCAGGCUCCUACUGCUCAUGAUCUGAUUGGAGGAUGAUCCUCUCGAUGCUCUAGGACUUCUCAUGUUGCAGGCUCAUCUGCUGGUGUGACUUCCGAGGCACCUCUUAUGGCCGUGUUUGAUGUGGUUCUCAGGAUUGUUGCAUUCCCCCAUAAUUUGAUGGCUUUAUAUUAAAGCCUACUCAAUGUUAUGAAGCUCUGGCUGGCCAUGGAUCAAUAUUUUCCUCCGGAGUUCAUUACAAGCACUUGUACCCAUGUUUAGAGGGAUCAGUAUGAGCACGUACAUUGACUGGUCGAUGCCGUAAGAAGACAGCUCUUCAUCCUUGGCGAGGACUGGUGGGUAAGAGCCAAAAUAAAUUAUAAAUUAUGAGAUGUAAAGUGUGCAUGUAUACAUGAAAUUUGCUAACUAAUUCUCCUUUUAAGUUUUCAACAAACGGACCAAGAGGGACUGCAGGGGCAACUGGACAACUCGCAGGGUCAGCUUGAUUCUAAACAAAGUUAGAUCGAUAUGCUAACCCUUCAGCUAUUUGCCUUGUAGACCUAAGGGAUAGAUGCUGAAUUGGAUGACAAGAUGGGUAGUUCGGGAGGGAACUCCGGCUUCUGAAUUUCCUUUGUAUUUUUCUUCUGAUUGCUUGUAAAACUUGAGACCUUAUAUAAACUUUUAUCUUUUGAAGAUAUAACA